GUAAUAAUAGCUUAAAAAGAGCAUCGGUCUUGUAAGCCGAAAGUGAACUAAGAUGUUCUUAUUACU
Molecule: transfer RNA, 66 nt
Filed under: Mancinella alouina
Lineage: Eukaryota; Metazoa; Mollusca; Gastropoda; Neogastropoda; Muricidae
Description: tRNA-Thr
Rfam family: tRNA
About the family: Transfer RNA (tRNA) molecules are approximately 80 nucleotides in length. Their secondary structure includes four short double-helical elements and three loops (D, anti-codon, and T loops).
Source: RNAcentral